AUCAGGAGGGCUUGCCGUUCUGCUGAAGGGCAUGUUGUCUGAUUGAAUGAUGGUGAAACAAUAUUUGCCAUCUCCUCCAUCUCCUAAUCCCAGCUGCGGCCACCUCUGCCCUACAUCCGCCGGGCAGCCUUUCUUGCCAUGUAACUUCCAAACCAGAAUUUAACUUUAAAUUGGAAGAACCAUUUGACAAGAAACCUCAAACCACAAAGAAGGACAGCACUAAGAUGCUCAUCUUAAAGAAGAAAAUCUCUCUCUACUUUUUUCCAUAAAAACAUUUGUGAAAUGUCUUGAUUUGAGUUAUUUUGAUUUUUUUUUUGGUUGGUUUGUUUUGUUUUCCCUCUGUGAGUGAUCAACCUGUGAAGCAAAAGGAGAAAAGCCUGUAGGAAGAGGAAAAGGAACUUCAGGACAAUUCUUCCCUGUGUCAGAAGGGGGCAAUAUGACUACAUGAAAGAAGACUACAGUCUAUGAUCGUCUAUGGCCACAAUGCUGAAAUAAACAUGUUGAAUUCCCAAAGAAACAUA
Molecule: long non-coding RNA, 521 nt
Organism: Monodelphis domestica (gray short-tailed opossum)
Lineage: Eukaryota; Metazoa; Chordata; Mammalia; Didelphimorphia; Didelphidae
Source: RefSeq, a predicted model, not a curated record